GCCUUGACGGCAGGCCUAACACAUGCAAGUCGAGCGCACCUUCGGGUGAGCGGCGGACGGGUUAGUAACGCGUGGGAACAUACCCUUUUCUACGGAAUAGCCUCGGGAAACUGAGAGUAAUACCGUAUAAGCCCUUCGGGGGAAAGAUUUAUCGGGAAAGGAUUGGCCCGCGUUAGAUUAGAUAGUUGGUGGGGUAAUGGCCUACCAAGUCUACGAUCUAUAGCUGGUUUUAGAGGAUGAUCAGCAACACUGGGAC
This 256-nucleotide ribosomal RNA is filed under the name Sulfitobacter sp. Its description in RNAcentral is "partial 16S ribosomal RNA". It matches the Rfam family "Bacterial small subunit ribosomal RNA", at positions 37 to 319 of the family's 1533-position model. Lineage: Bacteria; Pseudomonadati; Pseudomonadota; Alphaproteobacteria; Rhodobacterales; Roseobacteraceae. The record is from RNAcentral.